Amborella trichopoda is the source of this 154-nucleotide non-coding RNA. The record is from Rfam. Lineage: Eukaryota; Viridiplantae; Streptophyta; Magnoliopsida; Amborellales; Amborellaceae.
UCCCCACCCAUGUGUGUAGGACCCCAAAAGAUCACCGUUAAAGUUGACACGGAUCUCUAGAAAAAUUAUCAUAUGGGUGUGGGACAUGACUUUUCUAUAGAUCCGUGCUAAAUUUAAUGGUGAUCCUUUGGGGUCCUACACACAUGGGUGGGAG